UGGUGGAGCGAUUUGUCUGGUUAAUUCCGUUAACGAACGAGACCUCAGCCUGCUAUUGUAGUUGGGCGUAUCCUUCGUGGAUACCAGCGGCAACUUCUUAGAGGGACUAUCGUUGUUGCAGACGAUGGAAGUUUGAGGCAAUAACA
Molecule: ribosomal RNA, 146 nt
Filed under: uncultured eukaryote
Lineage: Eukaryota
Description: partial 18S ribosomal RNA
Rfam family: Eukaryotic small subunit ribosomal RNA
Source: RNAcentral